This 280-nucleotide ribosomal RNA is filed under the name uncultured bacterium. RNAcentral describes it as "partial 16S ribosomal RNA". It matches the Rfam family "Bacterial small subunit ribosomal RNA", at positions 1049 to 1343 of the family's 1533-position model. The record is from RNAcentral.
CUGUCGUCAGCUCGUGUCGUGAGAUGUUGGGUUAAGUCCCGCNAACGAGCGCAACCCCURUGCUUAGUUGCAAGUCUAAGSAGACUGCCGGUAGAAAACCGGAGGAAGGUGGGGAUGACGUCAAGUCAGCAUGGCUCUUACGUUCUGGGCUACACACACGCUACAAUGGCUGGUACAAAGGGAAGCAAGACCGCGAGGKGGAGCAAAUCUCAAAAAGCCAGUCUCAGUUCGGAUAGCAGGCUGCAACUNCGCCUGCUUGAAGUCGGAGUUGCUAGUAACC